Non-coding RNA from Oncorhynchus mykiss (rainbow trout), 1537 nucleotides. Lineage: Eukaryota; Metazoa; Chordata; Actinopteri; Salmoniformes; Salmonidae. The record is from RefSeq and is a predicted model, not a curated record.
UACAUUGAAAGGUAUCUUGUGUGUUUAUAUAUUAUGGGUUACAUUGGAACAUUGUUGCAACGUGUUUGAUUAACGUUUCUUUGAACGUUGUCACCAACCUAAUAUUGAACGAGUCAAUUAGUGAUUUUAUCUGUCUGUGUCUCUCUCAUUUCAGAACGGCGGCAUGAUCAGAAACACGUUAUAUCUUUCCAUUCCGUUGAUUGGUUGACAUGAGAUGAUAUUGGACUUGUGCUCAUUUAUUAAUUAACAGGUGACACCAGCGCGCCUACCUUUAUAAAUCAAUCCCCUACUGUCUCGUUAAAAGGAAUCAGUUCUGGCUGUUGAUUCCAAUGAGGACUAGGUCACAGUUGAGCAGCAGGUGACCAAUGCUUAUAACUGCUUCAUUUAUGGAAAGCUUUGGGGAAAAAAACCUUCCUCAUCCUUUGAGUUUGUCAAACAAUUUGGUUUAUGCAAGUACAUUUUUACCUACCUUUACCCCUUAUUUCUCUGCCAUUUUUAAAACCUACUAUGUAAAGGCAGUAUAUGUAACCUGGAAUUGGCAUGUGUUUUAAACGUAGCCGUUGUGAAUAUAACGACGAAGAGCCGACUGGCCCAUUUGAGAUGCUACCCCGUGUGGUUCAUACUAGGCCUACACCCUUUGAGUAAAAGGGUCAUUUUAUUCUUCAGACCGAUUUCUCAAAAGUUCAUCUCAGGGGUCGUGGGCUGGUUGGUAAUCAUCUUGUCCUGCUGCUGUGGAGAGUCCCAGUCUUUAUCAGCAACAACAUGGUGACGGCUCAGAUCUUCUGGGAGAGGCUGUGGAUGAUACUGUGACGUGCAGAGUACUGGACAGUUGCAAGGAACAAAAGCACAUUUUCUCAAGACUCUUUCUCUGACUGGUGUUUCAUUCACCUUUUUAAAGAUGGUGUACGACUCCACGUUGACUCUCCCCAGAGAGCUGCAGAACCAUCGUCUCCAUCUUGGUCUCCAUGGUCGCCAGCAUCGCCGGGAUGGGGGGAAAGUGCAACGGCUGCUCGGCGCGAGGGUUCCGGAACCAAGGCCCAGGUUGCCACGGCAGCUGGGGUUCUGUUCCCGAUUUGCCGGGGUGCUGAGUCUGGUGUCUCUCAGCUGGACAGCUCCGUGUCAUCACUGACUUCUAUAAUCCUCUGGAACACCAGGGAUUAAAGAGCUGGGUGCGGCCAUCUUUAUCUGCCGGGGAGGGGGAGCUCUCAUGGCCAGGGGGUCUCCUGGUGUUCUCGUGCCCACAGAGGGAUGGCCCUGGAUGGGAUAAGGGUUGGUAUAAUAAACCACCACUAACCCUGCCCGCAGCCAUGGCACGUCUCAUGUCUGAUCUGCCCGACCAGAGGAGGACCCUAUUCCCUAUGUAGUGCCCGACAUGUUCCCUAGGAUGGUAUUUGGAAACAUUUCCCUAUGUAGAGACCAGGGUCCUAUUCCCUAUAUAGUGCACUACUUUAGACCAGUGUCCUAUUCCCUAUAUAGUGCACUACUUUAGACCAGAACCCUAUUCCUUAAAUAGUGCACUACUUUAGACCAAGGUCCU